Molecule: ribosomal RNA, 381 nt
Filed under: uncultured Bacillus sp.
Lineage: Bacteria; Bacillati; Bacillota; Bacilli; Caryophanales; Bacillaceae
Description: bacterial SSU rRNA
Rfam family: Bacterial small subunit ribosomal RNA
Source: RNAcentral
AGAGAUGGAUUGGUGCCUUCGGGAACUCUGACACAGGUGCUGCAUGGCUGUCGUCAGCUCGUGUCGUGAGAUGUUGGGUUAAGUCCCGUAACGAGCGCAACCCUUGUCCUUAGUUACCAGCACGUUAUGGUGGGCACUCUAAGGAGACUGCCGGUGACAAACCGGAGGAAGGUGGGGAUGACGUCAAGUCCUCAUGGCCUUUAUGACCAGGGCUACACACGUACUACAAUGGCCGAUACAAAGGGCAGCGACACUGCGAGGUGAAGCCAAUCCCGUAAAAUCGGUCUCAGUCCGGAUUGGAGUCUGCAACUCGACUCCAUGAAGUUGGAAUCGCUAGUAAUCGUGGAUCAGCAUGCCACGGUGAAUACGUUCCCGGGCCUU